Molecule: ribosomal RNA, 468 nt
Filed under: uncultured bacterium
Lineage: Bacteria
Description: partial 16S ribosomal RNA
Rfam family: Bacterial small subunit ribosomal RNA
Source: RNAcentral
GACGAACGCUGGCGGCGUGCUUAACACAUGCAAGUCGAACGGGAAGGCCCUGCCUUGGUGGGGUGCUCGAGUUACGAACGGGUAAGUAACACGUGAGUAACCUGCCCCUGACUUUGGGAUAACUUCAGGAAACUGGGGCUAAUCCCGGAUAGGAGCUCCUGCUGCUUGGUGGGGGUUGGAAAGUUUCGGCGGUUGGGGAUGGACUCGCGGCUUAUCAGGUUGUUGGUGGGGUAGUGGCUUACCAAGGCCUUGAAGGGUGGCCGGCCUGCGAGGGUGACCGGCCCCAUUAGGACUGAGAUACGGCACAGACUCCUACGGGAGGCAGCGGUGGAGAGUAUUGCACUAUGGGCGGAAGCAUGAUGCAGCCACGCCGCGUGCGGGAUGACGGCCUGCGGGUUGUAAACCGAUGUCGCCUGUGCCGAAGUGUUAGUGACGGUAAUGGGUAAAGAAGCACCGGCUAACUCCGUG